Long non-coding RNA from Daucus carota subsp. sativus, 981 nucleotides. RefSeq lists it as uncharacterized. The record is from RefSeq and is a predicted model, not a curated record. The transcript is spliced from 6 exons. Lineage: Eukaryota; Viridiplantae; Streptophyta; Magnoliopsida; Apiales; Apiaceae.
UGAUUUUAUAUCUGCUCCUCUCAUUCUAUAUCUGUGCCUCUAUAUAUGUAUACUGAUAUGUCGUGAUUUUGAUUUGUAUGUGAUUGGAUUGUUAUGUGAGGAAUUGAGUGUUUCCGGGAGGGAGUUCUAUGGACCCCGAUGUGAUUGAGAUUCCUCUGCCGACGCUGAUUGAUCGGAUUUCGAAAUCAAAAACUCUUAAACAUAAGGAGGUGAAUUGUUUUUUUAAAAAAAUUUGAUUGUUAAAACUGUGUGGCCAUCUCGUGAAGCCAUUUUGGUGUAAGCAAUUGGGAGUUGCGCCUGUGUCUAUAACCUCAAUUCGACUUUGAGAAAAGAAUUCGAAGAUAGUGUAUAUUUUGGAAUCCGUAGAACCAAUUGAUGAUUUUGAUGCAUGUUUCCAGUUUUGCCCUGAGUCCAUACAGGAUCAGGAUGCGGAGCAAGUCCGGAUAUUCUUCCUCUACCGGGUGGUGGGAUAUCUGUAGUCCAUGCAGGAUCAGGAUCCGGAGCAGGUCCGGAUAUUCUCCCUCUACCGGGCGGUGGGCUAUCUGUAGACUGUAGGUUGCUUACGUCUCAGACCAACUACAAAAUGAAAGUGCUACAGAUGAUCAUGCAAUGGUUAGGCAUCAAGCGGCUGAAGCUCUUGGUUAUAUAAUAGGGCCAAAAAGAAUUAUGAAUAAGGUGAGUACACUUGCCAGUUUGCAACACCCUUCUAUUUGCAAAUUACUUGGAUUUCAUGACUAGGAUGGUUACAUUGGAGGAUGCUAUUGUAUGGGAGGUUAUAUCAUGGAAGAUUAGACCGUCUUUUAUAUGAAAAAUCUGAUGAACCUCUAUUAGAUUCGAAUGCCCGAAUGAAAAGUCCCUAACAAUAGGUGAAUGUAGAUUUAAAGUAUUCAUGUUUAAUUUGUCUGGUUGCUUGUAUCAUAAAUAAUUAGACUUGCUUUUCAAAAUUUCUUCUCCAAGUGUAAAAUUUCUUGAUCUUACUAA